GCUCGAGAGCGAGAACGGGAGAGAAAGGGGCAGAAAUGGCGGCUCCGCUCGGCUCCCGCUGAGUAGGGCGAAGCCGGCAGAGUCUGAGCCGUCGGCCCGGAGCAUCGCUCCCGUCUCCAGCUACCUGUCUUCGCACGCCGACUUCCCUUCCUCUGCCCUGCUCUCGCCUGUCUUCGUCUGCUCUCCGCGGAGUCUGGUUCGGCUUGUCUUUCCCGGCCCGGCUCCACUGGCCCUGACUGCCCGGACAGCGGGCCGGCCUUCCUUGGGUCUCCCCGGCGCGGCGGGCGCCGCUAACGCGGCGUGGACCCCGUCCUCCUGGCUGGACCAUGGUGAACACCCGGAAGAGCUCUCUGCGCCUUCUCGGAUCUAAGUCGCCUGGGCCUGGGCCUGGGCCUGGGGCCGGAGUAGAGCCCGGGGCGACCGGAGGCAGCAGCCAUUUCAUCUCCUCUCGGACCCGCUCCUCCAAGACCCGUGCUGCCAGCUGCCCCGCCGCCAAGGCCGGGGGAAGCGGCGGCGCCGGCGUCGCUCUGGAUGAGGCCCGGAAAGCUGAAGCUGAUGGUAGUUUAAGUGAUAGCCAUGUGUCUCCUCCAGCCAAACGCACUUUGAAACAACCUGACUCUGUUUGCAAAGACAAAUCAAAAUCACGAACUACUGGUCAGCGAGAAGAAUGGAACAUAUCAAGUGGACAGGCCAGGUUAACUUCUCAGCCUGGUGCUACAUUACCAAACGGACAUAGUAGCUUAUCCCUUCGAAGCCAUCCCCAUCGAGGGGAAAAGAAAGGAGAUGGGGAACUUUCUUGUAUAAAUGGUGACAUGGAAGUCAGAAAAAGCUGUCGUUCCAGGAAAAACAGAUUUGAAAGUGUGAACCAGAGUUUGUUAUUUGAUCAACUGGUAAAUAGUACUGCUGAAGCUGUACUACAGGAAAUGGACAACAUAAACAUUAGACGGAAUCGUCGAUCAGGAGAAGUAGAACGGCUUCGAAUGUGGACAGAUACAGAAUUUGAAAACAUGGAUAUGUAUUCAAGAGUGAAAAGGCGAAGAAAGUCACUGAGAAGAAAUAGUUAUGGUAUACAAAAUCAUCAUGAAGUCUCUACUGAGGGUGAAGAAGAAGCUAGAACCUCUAUAUUGCUUCCUUUGGAGAAAAUCAGUAUAGAAUCUCAAGAGGAAGAUGGAGAUAUAGAGGUUGAAGAGGCAGAAGGAGAAGAAAAUGAUAGGCCAUAUAAUUUGAGACAGAGAAAAACAGUGGAUCGAUACCAAGCACCUCCAAUAGUACCAGCUCAUCAAAAAAAGAGGGAAAAUACCCUUUUUGAUAUUCACAGAUCUCCAGCAAGAAGAAGUCAUAUCAGGAGAAAGAAGCAUGCUAUUCACAGUAGUGACACAACGUCUUCUGAUGAAGAACGAUUUGAAAGAAGGAAAUCAAAGAGCAUGGCAAGAGCAAGAAAUAGAUGUUUGCCUAUGAACUUAAGAGCAGAAGAUUUAGCUAGUGGUAUUCUCCGAGAACGUGUUAAAGUGGGUGCAAGCUUGGCUGAUGUUGAUCCAAUGAAUAUUGAUAAAUCAGUGCGGUUUGAUAGCAUAGGUGGAUUGAGUCAUCAUAUUCAUGCACUAAAGGAAAUGGUAGUAUUCCCACUUUUAUAUCCAGAAAUUUUUGAAAAAUUUAAAAUUCAGCCUCCAAGAGGCUGUUUGUUUUAUGGUCCUCCUGGCACAGGUAAAACCUUGGUCGCCAGAGCGUUAGCUAACGAGUGCAGUCAGGGAGACAAAAAGGUGGCUUUUUUUAUGCGAAAAGGAGCGGAUUGUCUGAGUAAGUGGGUUGGUGAAUCUGAGCGGCAGCUUAGGCUUCUUUUUGAUCAGGCAUAUUUGAUGAGACCUUCUAUAAUAUUUUUUGAUGAAAUAGAUGGAUUAGCUCCAGUUCGCUCUAGCAGGCAAGAUCAGAUCCACAGCUCUAUAGUGUCAACCCUCCUUGCUCUUAUGGAUGGAUUAGACAAUAGGGGCGAAAUUGUUGUUAUUGGUGCUACAAAUAGACUUGAUUCUAUAGAUCCUGCUCUUAGGAGACCUGGUCGUUUUGACAGAGAAUUUCUUUUCAACCUUCCAGAUCAAAAGGCAAGAAAACACAUUUUACAGAUCCAUACCAGGGACUGGAAUCCAAAAUUGUCAGAUGCUUUUUUAGGUGAAUUGGCUGAAAAAUGUGUUGGCUAUUGUGGAGCUGAUAUCAAGGCCCUGUGCACUGAAGCUGCCCUGAUUGCCCUCCGGAGGCGUUAUCCCCAGAUCUAUGCUAGCAGUCAUAAACUGCAGCUAGAUGUUUCCUCAAUCGUGCUCAACGCCCAAGAUUUUUAUCAUGCAAUGCAGAAUAUUGUGCCUGCUUCCCAACGUGCUGUCAUGUCUUCGGGACAUGCACUGUCUCCCAUCAUAAAACCACUGCUGGAAAGAAGCUUCAACAACAUCCUAGCCGUCCUGCAAAAAGUGUUUCCUCAUGCUGAGAUUAGCCAGAGUGACAAGAAAGAAGAUAUAGAAACUUUGAUUUUAGAUGACAGUGAAGAUGAGAAUGCUGUAUCAAUUUUCGAGACAAGUUGUCACUCAGGAUCACCAAAGAAACAGUCAUCAGCUGCUGCUGUACAUAAACCUUAUCUUCAUUUUACAAUGUCACCAUAUCAUCAGCCAACCUCUUACAGGCCAAGGUUAUUGCUGUCUGGAGAACGAGGCUCAGGUCAAACUUCUCACCUUGCUCCAGCACUUUUGCACACUUUAGAAAAAUUCUCUGUGCAUAGACUAGAUCUCCCAGCACUUUAUUCAGUUAGUGCCAAAACACCUGAAGAAUCGUGCGCACAGAUUUUUCGUGAAGCUCGAAGAACAGUACCUAGUAUUGUUUACAUGCCUCACAUUGGUGAUUGGUGGGAAGCUGUCAGUGAAACUGUGAGAGCAACUUUUCUGACUCUGCUACAAGAUAUACCGUCAUUUUCACCCAUAUUUCUGUUGUCUACCUCUGAAACCAUGUACAGUGAACUGCCUGAAGAGGUUAAAUGUAUCUUUAGAAUACAGUACGAAGAGGUCUUGUAUAUUCAAAGGCCUAUUGAAGAGGACAGAAGAAAAUUUUUCCAAGAACUGAUUCUCAAUCAGGCCUCAAUGGCUCCACCACGAAGGAAACACACUGGUCUUUGUGCAAUGGAGGUACUUCCACUUGCAUUACCUUCUCCACCUCGUCAGUUAUCAGAAUCAGAGAAAAUUCGGAUGGAGGACCAAGAGGAAAAUACUUUAAGAGAGUUGCGGUUGUUUCUCAGGGAUGUAACCAAGAGGCUGGCGACAGAUAAACGCUUUAACAUCUUCAGCAAACCGGUGGAUAUUGAAGAGGUUUCAGAUUAUCUUGAAGUAAUCAAGGAACCAAUGGACUUAUCAACAGUAAUAACUAAAAUUGAUAAGCAUAAUUACCUGACUGCUAAGGAUUUCCUAAAAGAUAUUGACCUCAUCUGUAGCAAUGCUUUGGAGUACAAUCCAGAUAAGGACCCAGGAGACAAAAUAAUUAGGCACAGGGCUUGUACUCUGAAGGAUACUGCACAUGCCAUCAUUGCAGCUGAGUUGGAUCCAGAAUUUAAUAAACUCUGUGAAGAAAUUAAGGAAGCAAGAAUAAAAAGAGGCUUAUCGGUAACAGCAGAACAAAUAAAUCCUCAUGGUACUGGAGCUCGAAAGACAGAAACUAGAGUUGAAGAGGCAUUUCGGCACAAACAAAGAAAUCCAAUGGAUGUCUGGCACAGUUCUGCAAAUAAAUGUGCAUUUCGAGUUCGGAGAAAAUCACGGCGGCGAUCACAGUGGGGUAAAGGAAUUAUUAAGAAAAGGAAAGUCAAUAAUUUAAAAAAAGAUGAAGAGGACACCAAAUUUACUGACUAUGAGAAUCAUAUGGAGGACAGGAAAUUGCUCGAAAAUGGAGAGUUUGAGGUAAGCACUGACUGCCAUGAAGAAAAUGGAGAAGAGACUGGAGACUUAUCUAUGACCAAUGAUGAAUCAUCCUGUGACAUCAUGGACAUGGACCAGGGGCAGAGGCUUAACAAUGGAGCAAGCACAAAAGAGAACUUUGCAUCUACUGAAGAGGAAAGUUCAAAUGAGUCUCUACUCAUCAACAGCAGCAGUUCUCUAAAUCCAGAACAGACAUCUCGGAAAGAGCCUUUCCUUAAAGAAGGCUGUCUAAAUGGUGAGGCCUCCACAGACAGUUUUGAAGGAAUACCAGUUCUGGAGUGUCAGAAUGGCAAAGCUGAAGUAGUUUCUUGCUGUGGCAGUGGAGAUAAAUGUAGUUCUGAACAAAAGACUCUCCUGGAGGACCACUCAAAAGAAAAACCAGAAACUUCAAAUGAAAAUCAUGGAGAUGAUCCUGAGAAACUAGAGGCACUGGAAUGUAGCACUAACGAGAAGUUAGAGCCUGGCCCUGAUGUAGAGGUUAAAGAUGCAGAACUGGAUAAAGAAGGUGCUUCUAAAGUAAAGAAAUAUCGUAAGUUAAUUUUAGAACAGGCAAAAACAACAAGCCUGGAACUGGUUCCAGAAGAGCCAUCUGAGCCUGUGCCACCUCUUAUAGUUGAUCAUGAGAGAUUGAAGAAAUUGCUUGAUUUGUUGGUAGAUAAAAGCAACAAUCUGGCAGUUGAUCAACUUGAGAGAUUAUAUUCUCUUCUUAGUCAGUGCAUCUACCGUCACCGUAAAGAUUAUGACAAAUCACAACUUGUAGAGAAAUCCAUGGUUGGCAGACACACGGAAUAACAUGGCGCAGUUCUCCCCUCCCUUGCUUCUCGGCGACUUCACAGAUGAUGCAUAUCACGUGGGCCUGUUGAAUGAGAUGGAAAGAACAGUUCAUAUGUUUGAGACAUUCCUAUGAACCUUUCAAGAAGAGUGGUUUAUCCCCUCCAAUCUGCUCCUGACAGAGCAGUCUUCUGAGCCAUUCAAUUUCAAAUUGCACCAAUUAACGUGCAGAGCCUUGGUGUAAAGUGCUCUCUCACUCAUUCUUUCUCUCUGUUGAAUUUGGUGCUAUUGUCUCAGGUACCUGAAACCAACCAGCCUACAAGAACCAAACAGAACUUCAGAAACAUGUUGUAUUUUCCACAAAUAAAAAAUACAACCCCACAGAUUGGAGAUUUUGGUGCUACAGAAACUGCUCUCACUUCUGCUCCUCUUUUUGUGCACUCUUUUUUGGAGAUUUGUCUCUUAGGGAGCAGACCAGCAAAUUUGAGGAAACUGGAUGGGGCAGUUCUUACUGUGUUGAAUUGUUUAAAAAGUGGGCAACCUGUUCCUUUCCCUCUCCUUUCUACCCCUUUUAUCAUAUUUGUUUUAUUUUUUUCUCUGGGUAAUGGACUAAAGCCUGUUUUGAAAUUGGCUAUGGUACAUUCUGGUGGGAAACUGAAGAAACUGGAUGAAAUUAGAUUAGGCUCUUUAGAACUGCCUUUAAUGUGCCUUUUUAUUCAUUUGAGAAAGGAUAAGGCUAAACACAAGGAUGGGCUUGUUUGUAGCAAAUGAAUUAAAAUGUUUUCUUUGGUCACAACCCUGAAAAUAAGUUUUGAUACUCUGUAUCAUUAAGAGGCAGCCAGUGAUUUGGUAUGAAAUGCCUAUAUUGCUUUUAAAACUCAAUCAAGAAAGUUGUUAAGCUACAAAAUAUACUAAAAAUGGUAAGUUUUCCUGUAUGGUUUGUUUCUGUUUAAGAAACAUGUGAUGAAGCAACAACAACAAAAAAUAAUACACAAUCCAUAAAAAAAAAAAAAACCACACUCUUUUUGGUAUGGAUGACAAUGAUGGUCAGAAAAUAGAACUGCCUUCUGUUUUCUUCUAUCAGUGGUAAUUUAAUGGAUAUUCAUGUUUGAGUUCCCAGAGAAGAAUGAUUUUCAUGUAUAGCAAAUUAUUACUGUUUUGGUUUAAAGCCAGGACUUGCCAAAUGGAAAGAAAAGAGGAAUUUUUGUCUAGGAGCUCCAUAAAAUUCUUUUUCAGUAUGCAUAGUUGCAAGUGAGCUCUGGUAUGGUCCUUGAAUAACAGUAUUAAUAUUUAAAUCCCUCAUCAUAAGCUUACCUUCACAACUAACUAUUCAUUUUGAUCGGAACCCAUUUUGGAUCUUGUUGAGCGAUUUCUGUGACUUGUACUUAUCUAAAAUUAAUUAUGGAUUACUAGUUUUACAAAAACUUUCUACAAAGUCAGAGACACAGUCUAGGCAGUUGCAAAGAGGCAAAAGGAGUGCAGUGACUUUUUUAUCAGAUGAUUUUUAAACAAAAAAGUAGAAAAUUUUGACAAGUUGGCUUGAUACCUUCGUUCAUUAUAGCCGUUAGCUGCACAGGUGUGUCUUUCCAAUAUAUGCAACACAUGUAGUUUGGGUUUUAGAGCAAAUGGUCUUGGACUACUGCAGAGAUACUGAGCUACCUCAGCUUUUUGUAUUUUAGUUACCAACGGUGUCUACAGAGUUCUGUAUUCACUUUGCCACCGUUUACAUGCUGAAGCUAAGGUACUUGUCUCCUCGUCUCUGGCUUCGUAGGGUGCUGGAUGCCAGUGCAGAAAGCACGCUUUGGCCAAGGCUACUGCAGUAAUCUUAAGUGCUUCUUUGCAUUUACAUGAACAUUUUACGCUUUCUAACUCUAGUUUAAUUUUAAAAUAAUGCCACUUGUUUUCUUUAUACCUAUGAACUUUUCAUGAUAUUCAGUUAGUCAUAUAAUUCAAGAUGCUACCCGUGUAGACACACUGUAUUUUUAAGGUGGGCAAGUGCGAUUAACGAUGAACCAAUUUUAAAGGGGAGGUCAUUUGAAACCUCUAAUUUGAUUACUGGGAGGAUUUUCAUGCUUUCUUUAGUAUUUAUUACCAUCAUACCAGUUCAAGCUAUUUUACUGUCUAAUACAUUAGCAUUUUGUAUUUUGAUGGAAAUUGUUACAGAAUUUAAAAAUUUGAUGAAAUAAGAUGUAGCAGAUUUUUUGUAGCAAGUUUCUGGUAAAAGGGUUUUUUGCAAGUCUCAGGUUCUUGCUGCACUAUUUUUCUUUAAAUAUUUAUUCCAGUUACUCUAAUUCAGAAGCAUUCUGUUCAAGUAACAGCAGCACUUGUGAAUGGAAAAAAAAAAUGCACAUGUUCUUAGUAAGUUACUAAAUUUGUACAGGUUAAGGUUUUAGCCAUCAGUGAGUUUGACAAGGGAAAUUUAUUUAUGUUCAGCAUUAAAAUGCUUCUAAAAGAUCAAAUUUUUUAAUUUUAACCUUGAUAGAGAUAAGAGAAAUAGGAGGCAACCUCAGUAUGAUAGGAUCUGCCACUCUGAACAGUUUAGGUCUUAAAGAGAAAGCCAGUCUAAUGCCAAGGGGAGAAAAAUGAGCUGAAAUUGUACUAACUCCUCUGGCCCCUUUCCCCCUGCAAAAGAAACACGCUAUACCAGUUUUGCUGACUUUACAGCUAUCUGGUGGUUCUAGAAUUUAAAGCAGCUUGUGAAAUUAUCCAAGCAGACUCAGUUUUGUUUACCUUUCUGUAAGUUCUUGAUUUUUGCUGUAUAGCAUUGGCAAAAACAUGUACAAAUUGACCUCUGUUCUUAUUUCCUAUUGUGAGCAUUAUACAUUAGCUCCUGUGUAAAACCUUGCUCCCAGAUGACUAAAAUGUGUAUCACGGCCCAGCCCAACAAUAGUUAAUGCUCAGCUGUGGGGACCAUAGGAGCUUUUGAAGACGAUGGAACCGCACUAGGGUUGAAACUGAUGGCUGUGGAGUUAAUUGUGUUUUUGAGCUUGAAUCUCACCUGUGAUUAAUUUUUUUUUGUUUAGUUUUGUUGUCCUUUCAGUACAUUCUUUCAGGACUUGAUUUUUCUCAUAUGCCAAUGUAUUUGUAGAUUUACUGGAUUUUAUUUUUUAGGGAGUGGGGUGGUAAUAUCUUCCCAUUUUUUGAUUAAGUUGGUUCAGCUAUGGUGCUAUUCAGUAGGUAUCUUCAGUGUCAGGUCCCGUAGCUGAAUGCCAUUGUUAUUAUAAUUAUUAUUUGUAAUCACAUUGUAAGCUUGAAUUUGGACUUGUACCAACAUCUUUUGUAUUUUGUACAUUCGGUUAUUUAGACUUUGGGAGUCCUCUUUGGUUUCAUUCAUGUAUGUCUACUUUGUAGAGUAAGUAGACCUCCUCAACUAUGGUCUAUUUUGGGUUUGUAGUUUAAUUUAGAAUUGUGUUAAGUUGAUGUUUUACAUUUGACUUCAUUUUACAUUAGUUUGAAGUAAAUUAUUUAAUUUUUGAAUUCUGGAAUUUUGAACAUUUACUGUAAUUUGUAAUAUAACUGCUGUGAAAUACUUGAAUAAAGAUGACAAGAAAAUCA
Molecule: RNA transcript, 8267 nt
Organism: Bubalus bubalis (water buffalo)
Lineage: Eukaryota; Metazoa; Chordata; Mammalia; Artiodactyla; Bovidae
Gene: ATAD2B
Gene name: ATPase family AAA domain containing 2B
Exons: 30
Source: RefSeq, a predicted model, not a curated record